AUGGGCCACUUAGUUAAUUUCUUAACGUCAUAUGAACUAAACAGGGCAGAAGAUAAUAAGCAAGAGGUGCUGAAAAUCAUACUAAACACCAUGAGCUCCACUGAUCUACCUCAAAAGCUGGAGCUUGUUGACACACUGCAGUGUAUUGGGGUGGACUAUCACUACCGACAGGAGAUUGAUGAAUUGCUGCGUGAUAUAUAUGGUGACAAGCAUGAAAUUCAUGACCUUUAUACAGCUGCCUUGCGGUUUUACCUGCUUAGGAAACAUGGCUACCCUGUCUCUUCUGAUGUGUUUACCAUGUUUGUUGACGGGAACAGAAUUAUUGGGAGCACUGAUGCUAUAACUUUGUUGGUUCUCUACAACGCUGCACAUCUGAGAACCCAUGGAGAAAAAAUACUUGAUGAUCUUAUGACUUCGACAAAGCAGCUCCUAAAAUAUAUGGUGAACCAGUUGGAUCCGACAUUGUCACAAGAAGUGCAAUACACCCUAGAAACUCCCCUUUUCAGGAGGCUUCACCGAAUUGAAGCAAAGAGCUACAUCUCAACAUAUGAGAAAAAGCACACACGAAACAAGACCAUAUUGGAGUUUGCAAAGCUGGACUACAAUAUCGUGCAAAGUUUGUACUGUGACGAGCUUAAAGAUCUUACCCUAUGGUGGAAUGGAUUUGAUAUAAAAACCCACCUACCCUGGGCACGUGAUCGAAUGGUUGAGAUGCACUUUUGGAUGAUGGGAGUUUUCUUUGAGCCCCAUUAUUCAUAUCCAAGAACCGUGCUUACAAAGUUGAUUACCCUUGUGUCGGUUUUUGAUGACUUCUAUGACAACUAUAGCACCGCACAAGAAAGCACGAUGUUUACUUCAGCAAUUGACAGGUGGGACGAGCAUGCAGCUGAGCAAGUCCCAACAUACAUGAGGCCGUUCUACAAGGGCACCGUUUCCACCAUAAACUGCAUUGAAGAGGACUUGAAACUUCAGAAAAAUAAGCAUGCUGAAUUAUCGACACUGCAAAUGGCUAUAAUGCUGAAGAAAUGGCGUGAUCAACAAUACGUCCCAUCUAACCUUGAAGAGCACCUACAAAUAUCUGUUCGUAGCAGCGGAUGUAUGCACAUAUCAAACCUUGCAUUCCUAUUAAUGGGAGAUGUCACGCCCAGUGAGACUGUACAAUGGACUUGGACAUACCCAAGAAUCAUCAGAGCCAUAUGCAUAAUCGGCCGUGUUAUGAACGACAUUACAUCCCAUGAGCGGGAACAAGCUUCGCAGCACGUGGUAUCUACUGUGCAGACCUACAUAAAGGAGAAUGGGUGCACAGUGCAGCAGGCAAACGAAGGGCUUAACCAGAUAGUUGAAGAAGCAUGGAUGGAUAUCAAUGAAGGAUUCAUGCAGCCGACGGCUCAUCCAUUCGCAGUCUUGUCAAGAGCAGUCAAUCUCGCAAGGACGAUGGAUUUCAUGUACAAGCGUGAAGAUGCAUACACCACCUCCGAGUCGCUCAAAGAUACUUUGGACUCUCUAUACAUUCUCCCGAUUGAUGUUUGA
RNAcentral lists this ribosomal RNA (1530 nucleotides) under Triticum aestivum (bread wheat). Its description in RNAcentral is "partial small subunit ribosomal RNA". The record is from RNAcentral. Lineage: Eukaryota; Viridiplantae; Streptophyta; Magnoliopsida; Poales; Poaceae.